RNAcentral lists this ribosomal RNA (876 nucleotides) under uncultured bacterium. Its description in RNAcentral is "bacterial SSU rRNA". It matches the Rfam family "Bacterial small subunit ribosomal RNA", at positions 28 to 896 of the family's 1533-position model. The record is from RNAcentral.
GAUGAACGCUGGCGGCGUGCUUAACACAUGCAAGUCGAACGGACUUAUUCUUUGGGAAGCGAUUAGUUUACUAAGCGUGGAACUGUGAAUAAGUUAGUGGCGGACGGGUGAGUAACGCGUGGGCAACCUGCCUUGCACUGGGGGAUAACAGUUGGAAACGGCUGCUAAUACCGCAUAAGCGCACGCUACCGCAUGGUAGUGUGUGAAAAACUCCGGUGGUGUAAGAUGGGCCCGCGUCUGAUUAGUUAGUUGGCAGGGUAAUGGCCUACCAAGACGAUGAUCAGUAGCCGGCUUGAGAGAGUGAACGGCCACAUUGGGACUGAGAAACGGUCCAGACUCCUACGGGAGGCAGCAGUAGGGAAUAUUGGUCAAUGGGGGAAACCCUGACCCAGCAACGCCGCGUGAAGGAAGAAGGUUUUCGGAUCGUAAACUUCUAUCCUAGGUGAAGAUAAUGACGGUAGCCUAGAAGGAAGCCCCGGCUAACUACGUGCCAGCAGCCGCGGUAAUACGUAGGGGGCGAGCGUUGUCCGGAAUUACUGGGCGUAAAGGGUGCGUAGGCGGCAAUUUAAGUUGGAUGUGAAAUACCCGGGCUUAACCUGGGGGGUGCAUCCAAAACUGGAGAGCUAGAGUGCAGGAGAGGGAAGCGGAAUUCCUAGUGUAGCGGUGAAAUGCGUAGAUAUUAGGAGGAACACCAGUGGCGAAGGCGGCUCACAAAGCUAUAACUGACGCUGAGGCACGAAAGCGUGGGGAUCAAACAGGAUUAGAUACCCUGGUAGUCCACGCCGUAAACGAUGAUAACUCGUUGCAGGCGAUAUACGGUCUGUGACUUAGCGAAAGCGUUAAGUUAUCCACCUGGGGAGUACGUUCGUAAGAAUG